AAGCUAUGAUAUUCCAAAGGGCUUAACUAGAUUAGACUCUUCUUUAUUUUUUCCCAAAUAAUGGAAAAAUAUUUCUUUUGUUUAGACAUAGAUGCCCUUGUAGGAGGAGAAGUUGGAGGCUUGGAGUUUGGCAAGUUACCAUUUGGUGCCUGCGAAGAUCCUAUUAGUGAACUCCAUUUAGCUACUACAUGGCCUCAUCUGACCGAAGGGAUCAUUGUGGAUAAUGAUGUUUAUUCUGAUUUGGAUCCUAUUCAAGCUCCACAUUGGUCUGUUAGAGUUCGAAAAGCUGAGAAUCCUCAGUGUUUGCUAGGUGAUUUUGUUACUGAAUUUUUUAAAAUUUGCCGUCGAAAGGAGUCAACUGAUGAGAUUCUUGGACGAUCUGCAUUUGAGGAAGAAGGCAAAGAAACUGCUGAUAUAACUCAUGCUUUGUCAAAAUUGACAGAGCCGGCAUCAGUUCCAAUUCAUAAAUUAUCAGUUUCAAAUAUGGUACACACUGCAAAGAAGAAAAUCCGAAAACACAGAGGUGUAGAGGAGUCACCGCUAAAUAAUGAUGUUCU
This 557-nucleotide small RNA is filed under the name Pan troglodytes (chimpanzee). RNAcentral describes it as "retained intron". The record is from RNAcentral. Lineage: Eukaryota; Metazoa; Chordata; Mammalia; Primates; Hominidae.